GCCCCAGACUCCUACGGGAGGCAGCAGUGGGGGAUAUUGCACAAUGGGGGGAACCCUGAUGCAGCGACGCCGCGUGGGUGAAGAAGUCUUUCGGUAUGUAAAGCCCUAUCGGCAGGGAAGAAAUUGGACGGUACCUGACUAAGAAGCCCCGGCUAACUACGUGCCAGCAGCCGCGGUAAUACGGAGGGGGCAAGCGUUAUCCGGAUUCACUGGGUGUAAAGGGAGCGUAGACGGCCAUGCAAGCCUGGAGUGAAAGCCCGGGGCCCAGCCCCGGGACUGCUCUGGGAACUGUGCGGCUGGAGUGCGGGAGGGGCAGGCGGAAUUCCUGGUGUAGCGGUGAAAUGCGUAGAUAUCAGGAGGAACACCGGCGGCGAAGGCGGCCUGCUGGACCGCGACCGACGUUGAGGCUCGAAAGCGUGGGGAGCAAACAGGAUUAGAUCCCCCCGUA
This 448-nucleotide ribosomal RNA is filed under the name uncultured bacterium. RNAcentral's name for it is "bacterial SSU rRNA". It matches the Rfam family "Bacterial small subunit ribosomal RNA", at positions 328 to 792 of the family's 1533-position model. The record is from RNAcentral.